This 368-nucleotide ribosomal RNA is filed under the name Phaleria prolixa. RNAcentral describes it as "partial 12S ribosomal RNA". The record is from RNAcentral. Lineage: Eukaryota; Metazoa; Arthropoda; Insecta; Coleoptera; Tenebrionidae.
GAUACCCUAUUAUUAUAAAUAUUAAUUUAUUUCCCUGAUUACUAAGAGUUAAGUUCUUCAAAAUUAAAAAAUUUGGCGGUAUUUUAGUCUUUCAGAGGAACCUGUUUUUUAAUUGAUAAUCCCCGAUAAUUUUUACUUUUACUUUAAAUUUAUAUAUCGUCGUUUGUAAAAAUUUUAGGAGAAUAAUAAUUUUUAAGAUUUUUAAUUAAAUUGGAUUUCAGAUCAAGGUGUAGUUUAUGUAAAAGUUAGAAUGGGUUACAUUAUAUUUAUAUUUGGUAUUUUAUUUUAAAAGUAAAAUUAAAUUGGAUUUGAUAGUAAAUUUUUUAUUUAUGAAAAUUGAUUUAGCUCUAAAAUAUGCACACAUCGCC